Molecule: long non-coding RNA, 327 nt
Organism: Syngnathoides biaculeatus (alligator pipefish)
Lineage: Eukaryota; Metazoa; Chordata; Actinopteri; Syngnathiformes; Syngnathidae
Exons: 3
Source: RefSeq, a predicted model, not a curated record
CCUAAAGCCCCACUUUUGAGAUGUUUGAAAAAUAUUUUUUUUUCUUACUAGAAAUGUUCUCCCAACACUAGUCUGCUGUGGAAACUAUUAGGGAGGAUUGUUGUAACUUUCAUUCAUUUCGUCCAAUUUAAGAAGGUCAUCGCAGCCGAAAAUGAGGGCGUUGAUGACGCUGAGGAGCGUGAACAUUUACUUGCCUUGUAGUGGUCCAGAGCAUCCAGAGCAAGGCGAUGACCAUCUGUAGAAAACAUGCUGAGGGCUGCAAGAAGAUCAAACACCUGCUUCUUCACCAUGGUGUUGGAGGUGUCCAAGGCUGUGGAGCAACAUGAG